GCUGGCUGAGCACCGUGGGUCGGCGAGGGCCCGCCAAGGAAGGAGCGACCGACCGAGCCAGGCGCCCUCCGCAGACCUCCGCGCAGCGGCCGCGGGCGCGAGGGGAGGGGUCUGGAGCUCCCUCCGGCUGCCUGUCCCGCACCGGAGCCCGUGGGGUGGGGAGGUGUGCAGCCUGUGACAGACAGGGGCUUAGAGAUGCAAACAGACUCAGGGAGAGAAACAGAAGCUGAUUCUGUGACAGAAGCAGAUCUGUGCAGCACAGAUGCGGUGUGCGUGGGGAGGGGGUCGCCUGGGAGCGCAUUGCGGAGUGCUUGUGUGUGCAGAUUUUUCUCUGGGCUCAGGACUCAUUGUAUGUGGGUCAACACCUUCCUCCGUGACUGUGUUUUUGUUCUGAGCUGAGUUUUUUGGUUUGCCCUUAAAAAAAUAAUAAUUUGGCAUCCAGAGACUGGCAGACUGCCUCAGGGCCUGGACUGCGGAUAUAUUGUGUUCUGCUUGAGGUUUGGGGAGGAGGGCAGGCGGUAGGAAGGGAGAGGGGGAGCUGUUUGUCACACUUUGCUGUAGAGCUGAGAGCACCUGACAAGCUUAAGGAAGUCGUUGGGCUAUGUGGACAAGAAGGAGCCAGCUCCCAGCGGGUUCACAAGCUCUAUCGGAGUUGAAAGCGUGGUCAUGGCUCUAAGGAGCACCUCACGCCCUCCCUGUAGCUGUUAUUGCAGUUUCAGGCAGAGAUCCAGGAGCUGCAGAGGAAGGGAGAGGCACAAUAACCUACAUGGACCCAAGGGAGACAUGUGUUCCUUUAAAAAUGUGAACAGAAGGAAAAACAGAAUGUGUGCAACUGGGGGUCUGAGGAAAGACUGUUUUGAAAGAGGCUGUCAGGGAAUGGAAAGGGUUAAGCUUUUCAUCCUGAAGAACCUGCUUCCCAAAUCAGGCCUUCCUCCCAUCACUAGACCCUGAGCAGCAGCUGGUCCUAGAGACCCCCCUCGUACUGCGCUGCCACAGUCUCAUCCCAUUUCCAGCUCUGUAUUAACCACCAAGCUGCAGCGGAUGGGGCAAGACCUAAGCUCAUUAAUUUCCAGGUGGAGGAAAUGGAGGAGGGGCAGGUCCCUGCAGUAGAGGGAGGAGCAGAGAAAGGAGGCCAAGAGCUGGAUCCUUCUGCCCAGGAAGCCUGCUGCAUCCCUUCCCCCGAGCAUGGCAGAGGCCUGGCUUUGCAAGGCCAAGGCCAUAAGGGAUGCUUAGGAGAUUAAUUUGAUUCCUGACACAAUAAUCAAGCCCUAAGAGUCUCCACUGAAGCUUACUGAGGACUUCUUUCCUCUCCAAAGCCUCAGUCUAGCCUGCUAAAUAAAUUAGUAUUCAGUGAUGCCUUGGAUCAGGGCCCCUCCCCGGCCUCAGUUUCCCCAAAUAUUUAUUAAGUACCUACUGUGUGCAAUCCUUGUGUAAUUAUUAACUCUUAGGCUCUUCAUUUGCCCUCCUAAAGCAGUGUUUAGAGUCAGGCAGAGGUUAAGUGUGUUGCACCUCACCUAGAUACUUCCAGAACCUUCUCUGGGUCUGCAGAAUGUGGCACAACCUGCUUGCCCCCGCAGAGAGAAAGCUGCAGUGCACAUCCUGCAGACUGCAGGUGCUGGGCUGCCUCUGGAGUCCCAGAAGGCAAGCUUGGCUGCAGGACAGAAAGGGAGAACAGCUUCUCUCACCCCUGAGCCUUCACAAGCCCUUGUCUAUUUGCCGUUGCCUUCAAAAUAUACCUCCCCCGAAACCAGUAGCUUUCUGAGUCCUGGUGUCCCCUCCGCCCUUUCUGGACAGGUUUGGGAAGAAGAAAGCAGUCAGUGCUGGGCCUUAUUGGGGUGUGAAGCGCCUUGCUCUGCCCCUUCUGCUCACUGUGAAGGCCGCUGGAUGCUUCUCUUAGGCAUGGUUUAAGCCUCCGAUUACUAAACCCCUUGCCCCACAAACGUCCACAUUGACGAGCCUCUAAACAGCCCAGAUCUCCUCUUAAGCGGAAAAGAGAUUGACCUUCUAGCAGAGGCAAAGGUAAACUCCUAAUGGAGUCUUCUGGGGGCAGCUGCAAAGCGUUCUCCCUAGGACAGAUGGAGCCUCCCUUUCCUCAUCUACUCUGUGGGUGGUUUCAGGGCCCACGAGUCAACAUGAGGAGUUGUGCUGGUGGUAUGUGUGUUGGAGGCUGGGCUGGCUGAUUCACAGUGACGAGGAUGUCAAUAAUAACAAGAAUGAGAAUGAUGGUACCUAAUAAAGACUUUUUUUCCCAAGUCCCAUCUACAAUUCUUUCAUUGGGUGUUUUGCCAAGUCUUU
This 2295-nucleotide long non-coding RNA is filed under the name Homo sapiens (human). Its description in RNAcentral is "non-protein coding LINC00599:4". The record is from RNAcentral. Lineage: Eukaryota; Metazoa; Chordata; Mammalia; Primates; Hominidae.